This is a long non-coding RNA of Sinocyclocheilus grahami, 581 nucleotides long. RefSeq lists it as uncharacterized. The record is from RefSeq and is a predicted model, not a curated record. NCBI's taxonomy places the organism in Eukaryota, Metazoa, Chordata, Actinopteri, Cypriniformes, Cyprinidae. The transcript is spliced from 3 exons.
UAUCAAGGAAUGAAUGUGUCUGUAAUCUACAAUUCACAACAAUAGUGGAGCUUGCCUUUAACUGAAUAAUUAUUUGUCAUAUUUAGGACAAGUGGUUGUGGCAGCUGUCUUCUCUGAACAGCAGUCUGGUGAACACCGUACUGUUUCGGCCUCAGUACACUGAAGAUCUAAGAAAACACUUCACACCCUACAACCCCUAAAAAUAACCCAGAUUUGACAGCAGUGCACACCCAUCUGAGGCUGACCUGUUUUACUUCAUGAUCACCCCACAUACUUCUACAACUAACCCGCUUUGUAAGUUCUCAUAGCUACACCUUAAAGAAGCACAUCAUUUUGGGGAAAUUUCCUGUGUAUUUGCUGGUAAAUUACUUUUAUAAAGAUUAAUGUUGAUUAUAUACCUAGUUCAACAAAAAAUGAAAAUGAUGCCGCUUAAUCUCCCUUCUGUCAUUCCAUCCCAUAAAAAAGUGUGCAUCUUCAAUGAAGAUAUUAACCCCAAAACUCUGACACCCAAGAAACCAUCAAAUAAAUCCGUAUGAAUGGAGCCGUGUAAUCUACUUUUGGGCCAAACUGUUCAAUGAAUG